This 497-nucleotide ribosomal RNA is filed under the name uncultured bacterium. Its description in RNAcentral is "partial 16S ribosomal RNA". It matches the Rfam family "Bacterial small subunit ribosomal RNA", at positions 28 to 507 of the family's 1533-position model. The record is from RNAcentral.
GAUGGACGCUGGCGGCGUGCCUAAUACAUGCAAGUCGAGCGAACGGACGAGAAGCUUGCUUCUCUGAUGUUAGCGGCGGACGGGUGAGUAACACGUGGAUAACCUACCUAUAAGACUGGGAUAACUUCGGGAAACCGGAGCUAAUACCGGAUAAUAUUUUGAACCGCAUGGUUCAAAAGUGAAAGACGGUCUUGCUGUCACUUAUAGAUGGAUCCGCGCUGCAUUAGCUAGUUGGUAAGGUAACGGCUUAUCAAGGCAACGAUGCAUAGCCGACCUGAGAGGGUGAUCGGCCACACUGGAACUGAGACACGGUCCAGACUCCUACGGGAGGCAGCAGUAGGGAAUCUUCCGCAAUGGGCGAAAGCCUGACGGAGCAACGCCGCGUGAGUGAUGAAGGUCUUCGGAUCGUAAAACUCUGUUAUUAGGGAAGAACAUAUGUGUAAGUAACUGUGCACAUCUUGACGGUACCUAAUCAGAAAGCCACGGCUAACUACGUG